GAGAAUAACUACAAGACCAUCCCUUCCCCUGCAGGAAUUGAAGACCAAGAAGAGAUUGGAGGACCCUAAAGAGCCCUUCCAUUGAGCUAUGAGCUCAGCUGGGCUGCAGGGCUCUCUCCCUGCUGGAGCUGACCUGGCAGAGCGACUGUGGCAUGGCCCCAGGUGCCCCCCAGCGCCAGCAGCUGAGCUGGUGCUCCGCCUCUUUCAAAACAGGUUGUGUACAAAAUCAAGAAGAGAAUCUGCAGGGGGUAGAGAGAAUUUACAAGGAAUGUUACCCCUAGAUAAAAAAAUUAUUUAGCCUCCAUGUGAUGAAGACAAGAAUUUCUCUUGCAGCUAGGAAUGUUUAACUAGUUUAUUCUUUUGCCCUGCCCUGUGGUCUGACGCUCCCUUAAAAGGGCAUAAAAUGAGGUAACAUGGAUUCUCUUCAUAAUCUUCAUCUGUAUUUGUUAAUCUGGUUCAUGGAAGAAACCUGUCAAACAAGAAAUGUUACUAAGUCGCAAGUUAUUAAAACAUAACACUUACCCAUGAGAAAGUAAAACUGGGAAAUGAAAGAAAGUGCCGGUUCUUUUAAUGCUGCAACUCGUCAGUGGGGUAACUUCCUGUGUCUGACACUGCACUGGCCGCUGUUAAGAUCCGAAGCAACUGCACUAAGUCCUCAUUUCCAGGUUGCAGCUCUUCCCACAGAGCGUUUCAGCGCUGCUGACAGAACACACUAGGGGACGUGAAAAUGAUGAAGACAAACCCUCCCUUCUCAAUAACAGACGAGAGCCUUCAAAUUGAUAUUUUUGAAAGGAAUAAUUCAGUGGUGUGAAUGAACUUGAGACGGAAAAUUAAAAAAAAAAAGAAAGGAGGAAAGAAGGAUGGCCCGUUCCUAGGUGCAAGGUUCCUCAAACAGAUUCUGUUCUUCCUCCUAUGGACAUCCUUUGGUUAAUGGAAUCAUUAUCCUCCCAGAUCCAGAGAAAACAAUAUUGCUGAGACGGCUGGCUGUACCUCUCCCCCCAUCAAUAGCCCACUUCAUCCAUGGUAAUUGACGCAGUGUGUGAUGGGACACAGCUUCCCUGAAUAAAGACCACAUUGUCCAGCCUUUUCUCUUAGCCGCAAGCAGCAGUGUGACUAAGUUUGGCUAAUGCAUUGUAAGUAGAAGUGAUACUGAAAAGCUUCCAGGAAAACAUCCUUUAAAAACAGGGUGGCGUGCCCUUCGCCUGCUCCCGGGAACAUGGAUUUGAUGGCUUGUGCUUCAACCAUCACUUUGGACCAUGGAGAUGGAGGUCACAGCCGAGGGUUGAAAGGGAAGAGAGCUAGAAAGAGCUUUCUCCUAAAACCUAAAGAGCAAAGCCACCAUCCCAUCUCUGGACUUCCAACCGUCAGACUUCCUUGGAGACGGAAAUAAAUGGUUAUUUGGGGAUGAUUUCUUCAUCUGCAGUCAGUGCUAGUCGUGCCUGAUAUUAGUACAAAUUCGUGUAAAUAUUAGUAUAUUAUAAGAAAUACAAGAAAGAAGUCACUGCCCAUCACCCAUACUAACACUUUAUCUUUUUCUUUUUAUCACAUGUCCUCUCAGUCUUGCUCUGAAAUACUGACAUACAGUUUAGGAGAAUGGUCAAAUUUUCAAUCUGUCCACCCGAAUAUUGACCUGGAAUAAAACUGCUCACAUGCUUUUUAUUUCUUCUUCUAAGUGAAAUUACAAUAAACUAAUAUUAAGGUGCCAGGCAAAGCAGUCAGCAGUCUCUCUCUCUCUCUCUCUCUCUCUCUCGUUUUUUUAGAACACUGAGAAACAAAAGAGCUUCUGAACUGGGAGGAUCUGGUCCCAUUAAUGUGUCCCUUUUCUUCGGACCCCUUGCAUUCUCUGCUUCCCUAGGACCCUCAAAUAUAUCAGAUUAAAAUGCAAGAGAAAGACAGGCUAGAGAUAUAAGAUGGGAGUCAUCAGCCUAUGGGUGACAAGGAAAGCAAAGGGCUGAAUGCAGUUACGCAAGAAUAAGGAGAUGGGCGAGAAGGGUUCUCUAAUGGAGUACUGCAGAAAGUUCAUUAGCAUGUAGUGGGCAGGGAAACAGACGCCCUCAAUGAAGACUCUGAAGGAGUGGUCAGAAAUUCUGAACAAAAAAACAUUAAAACAUCGUUGUCUUUUCUUGAUCAACAGUAUUAACUUCCUGUGAUCUGGGAAAUAAGUUAUGAAUUGAUAUUCCUUGGAUCAACAAGGAGGUCACUGGUGGUGGCGAUGCAAGGACAGGUUCAGGCGGCAGGGAUGGGGGUUGGGGAGUGGUUCAGGCAGGAGGAGGGGCUGAGAUUCCUGCUUAAACCAUCCAAGGCUAUAUCUGUUACACAGACUAAUUUGGUUUGCUUUUGGUUUGCGUUCAGUGGCAAAGUCAGUUACAAAGUCAGUUGUUUGAUUGAUUGGACUUUUCAAGUCCUUUGAAGCAAAUUACUAUUUUUAUGCAAACCCGGACAAUGUUAGAGGACAGAGGAAACUGGAAAGCAACCUUGCUCGGAGGGUAAAAUUUCCUUUACAUCCGGCACUGUAGUCCUGCCAGAGCCCCCCUUAUGGGCAGGCAGCUGAGAAGAGCAGGAAUCACUAAUGUCCCCAGGAGCCUGAGCGCUCACAUUAGCCUUGGAAGGCAUUAGAGACCUAAGCACGGGCUCCAUCAUAUCCAAACCCGAGCACUUAUCUUAAGGAAGGAGGCUGAAAUCUGGGAGAGAAGAAACCUAGGCAAAGUGCCUGAGAAACUGCCCUCCCUGUUCAGGGUCUGGAGUUAGGAUGGGAAUUUGGAACAUGGAAGACUUUCUGUUUUCCCCCCACCGUUUGUGUAUUCUAUAAUUAUUUCCUUUUUGCAAAAGCUUGGUAUUUUGUGAAGUCCUCUAAUCCUGUGAAGACAGCUUUUUCUUUUUAUCUUUGUUUCUCGGUGCCUUGAUUUAUCGCUUGCUAAAUAUAUUUCACCAUGUUGUUUACUUCAGGCUGACACCAUUGUGUGACUUCUCUACCUCAACUCCCCGCUGCUCUUUUGAGAGAUAAAUCACUGUAAUUAUUUAUUCUCUCGAAAAGAAGCGGGAGGUGUAAAAGCCAAACUAAUAUGUACCUUUAGCCCACCCGAAUGACACUUUGGAAAUGAUUGCUCCUAAACUUUGACUCUGUGUUUUCAGGUCCUCUAAAAGUGUCAGAUAACUGAGAAUUAUGGAAUGAGUUGGAAAUUCUCACUUUUUCAGGGACUGCCAACAACGGCUACGUAUUUAUAAGGGUUUCUGUUGAGUCCUACAGUGUUAACCCUCAGGGUUGCUCAGCUCACCAACAAACUCAGAAAUAAAAUGGAAACUAGAGGUUUGGGAUUCAGGGUGAAAGUUCAAAGCUAAGGCUAGGGAAAUUUUUAUUCAGUUGAUUUGGGUUUUUUUUUUUUUUUUAAGGUAUUUUUAAUCUCACUAGCAAUUUUCUUAGGUAACUUAAAAUCAAAUCAUAAUUACAAAUUCGAAUUCCCUUCCCUUCAUGGCAGCAGAAAAAGAAGUUGCUAGAAAUCCUUUCCCAUUUCAAUCUGAUGCAGAGAGAAAAGUUUCCUGAAGUAUUUUGUCCUCAGGUGGAUGGACAAAAAAUGGCCCACAUAAGUACCUUGAACUGACUUCGUAAGGGGAACAUGAAAUCAAUCACUAUUUCAUUCAGGAAAUAUACCAGCAUCAGGACCCUAAUGUCAAUACAACCUCUUACCCCAACAUUAGUUGCCAAGUUCUGCUAGAAAUAUAUUUUUUUUUCUGCUGCAAAAAGUAUCUUGGUUCAUUGUUCAAGAGUACCUCCCAGGCCCUAGGGAAAGAACCUUGGCUGGUCAGAAGUGGUUCAUGUUUUUCUCCUCUCUACUCCUGCCAUUUCUAUUUUAAUCAUUUCCCAAAUGCACCGUCUCACUGCAUGCUACACAAGGAAAUGUUGGGGGUGUUGAAGAGAAAGCCACAGGCCCAAAAUGGUGUCAUGUGCCCUAAAAGCCCAUGAUAACAAACCUAGAUUUAAUACCUGAUCGAAUGGCAAUUUCAACCUCUCCCAUAAACAUAUCUUAGUCAACCAGUCUGGAGUUUUCUGGUCAAGCACCAGGAAGUAAUCUGUCACUGGACCCUCUUCCAUUCCCCAUCAAAAGCAGAGACAUCUGCAUAAUCAAAACCCUUCCUAUUCUCCUCUCCCAAAAAAAAGGUAUCUUGGCCCCCAAAUAUUUUUUUCUUUUCUAUUGUUAAUGGCUCCCUUGUC
Molecule: long non-coding RNA, 4210 nt
Organism: Molossus molossus (Pallas's mastiff bat)
Lineage: Eukaryota; Metazoa; Chordata; Mammalia; Chiroptera; Molossidae
Exons: 3
Source: RefSeq, a predicted model, not a curated record